CCUACGGGAGGCAGCAGUAAGGAAUAUUGGACAAUGGGCGAAAGCCUGAUCCAGCCAUGCCGCGUGAAGGAUUAAGGCCCUCUGGGUUGUAAACUUCUUUUAUAGGGGACGAAAAAAGGGAAUUCUUUCCCUCCUGACGGUACCCUAUGAAUAAGCACCGGCUAACUCCGUGCCAGCAGCCGCGGUAAUACGGAGGGUGCAAGCGUUAUCCGGAUUCACUGGGUUUAAAGGGUGCGUAGGCGGGUAGGUAAGUCAGUGGUGAAAUCUCGAAGCUUAACUUCGAAACUGCCAUUGAUACUAUUUAUCUUGAAUAUUGUGGAGGUUUGCGGAAUAUGUCAUGUAGCGGUGAAAUGCUUAGAUAUGACAUAGAACACCUAUUGCGAAGGCAGCAGGCUACGCAUAUAUUGACGCUGAGGCACGAAAGCGUGGGGAUCAAACAGGAUUAGAUACCCUGGUAGUCCACGCCCUAAACGAUGAUUACUCGACAUUUGUGAUACACUAUAAGUGUCUGAGCGAAGACGAUUAAGUUAAGUACCACCGUACGGGAAGGUAACGGACCGAACGUAGGUUAGUUAAACGUUACGUAAAGUUAAGUUAGUAGGCGNGNGAGAGCGACGACGACGACGACGGAGGAGG
Molecule: ribosomal RNA, 636 nt
Filed under: uncultured bacterium
Lineage: Bacteria
Description: bacterial SSU rRNA
Rfam family: Bacterial small subunit ribosomal RNA (bases 1-539)
Source: RNAcentral